RNAcentral lists this ribosomal RNA (415 nucleotides) under uncultured bacterium. Its description in RNAcentral is "bacterial SSU rRNA". It matches the Rfam family "Bacterial small subunit ribosomal RNA", at positions 385 to 758 of the family's 1533-position model. The record is from RNAcentral.
CAGGCCCAUUCCCCGCGUGAGUGAAAGAAAGGCCCUUCCGGGUUGCUAAAGCUCCUUUUCGCAACGCGCACGAAAAGAUUACUCUCUAAUAUAAGAAGUGAUUAUGGACGGUACCCUUGAUUAAGAAGCCACCGGCCUAACUUACGUGCCCAGCAGCCCGCGGGUUAAUACGUAGGGGUGCGAGCGUUUAAUCGGGAAUUACUGGGGCGUAAAGGCGGUGCGCAGGGCGGGUUUUGUAAAGUCAGAUGUGAAAAUCCCCCGAGCUCAACCUUGCGAACCCCCGUUUGAAACUACAAGACUAGAAUAGGUCAGAGGGGGGUAGAAUUCCACGUGUAGCAGUGAAAUGCGUAGAGAUGUGGAGGAAUAUCAAUGGCGAAGGCAGCCCCCUGGGAUCAUAUUGACGUCAUGCACGAAA